GAUGAAGAACGUAGCGAAAUGCGAUAAGUAGUGUGAAUUGCAGAAUUCAGUGAAUCAUCGAAUCUUUGAACGCACAUUGCGCCCCUUGGUAUUCCAUGGGGCAUGCCUGUUCGAGCGUCAUUUGUACCUUCAAGCUCUGCUUGGUGUUGGGUGUUUGUUCCGCCUCUGUGUGUGAACUCGCCUCAAAACAAUUGGCAGCCGGCGUACUUGUUUCGGAGCGCAGCACAUUUUGCGAUCCAGAUCAACGUACAGCGGCAUCCAAGAAGCCUUAUUUAACGCUCUUGACCUCGGAUCAGGUAGGGAUACCCGCUGAACUUAAGAAUAUCAAUAAGCGGAGGA
This 339-nucleotide unclassified non-coding RNA is filed under the name soil metagenome. RNAcentral describes it as "partial contains 5.8S ribosomal RNA, internal transcribed spacer 2, and large subunit ribosomal RNA". The stretch from base 1 to 120 matches the Rfam family "5.8S ribosomal RNA", at positions 35 to 154 of the family's 154-position model. The record is from RNAcentral.